UGGGGAAUUUUGGACAAUGGGCGCAAGCCUGAUCCAGCCAUGCCGCGUGCGGGAAGAAGGCCUUCGGGUUGUAAACCGCUUUUGUCAGGGAAGAAAUCUUCUGAGUUAAUACCUCGGGAGGAUGACGGUACCUGAAGAAUAAGCACCGGCUAACUACGUGCCAGCAGCCGCGGUAAUACGUAGGGUGCAAGCGUUAAUCGGAAUUACUGGGCGUAAAGCGUGCGCAGGCGGUUUUGUAAGACAGAGGUGAAAUCCCCGGGCUCAACCUGGGAACUGCCUUUGUGACUGCAAGGCUUGAGUGCGGCAGAGGGGGAUGGAAUUCCGCGUGUAGCAGUGAAAUGCGUAGAUAUGCGGAGGAACACCGAUGGCGAAGGCAAUCCCCUGGGCCUGCACUGACGCUCAUGCACGAAAGCGUGGGGAGCAAACAGGAUUAGAUAGCCCUGGGUAGUCCACGCCCUAAAACGAUGUCAACUGGUUGUUGGGAAGGUUCCUUCUUAGUAACGUAGCUAACGCGUGAAGUUGACCGCCUGGGGAGUACGGCCGCAAGGUUGAAACUCAAAUG
This 562-nucleotide ribosomal RNA is filed under the name uncultured bacterium. RNAcentral describes it as "partial 16S ribosomal RNA". It matches the Rfam family "Bacterial small subunit ribosomal RNA", at positions 355 to 907 of the family's 1533-position model. The record is from RNAcentral.